RNAcentral lists this unclassified non-coding RNA (4747 nucleotides) under Dimorphilus gyrociliatus. RNAcentral's name for it is "dgyrCDS8668". Lineage: Eukaryota; Metazoa; Annelida; Polychaeta; Dinophilidae. The record is from RNAcentral.
AAAGUUCCUACUGUGUGUUACUUUAUACAAUUUUCAAUAUAUUACUUUGGUUUAAAGCCUAUCUGGAAUUGAAUUGGGAUUUGUUUUACUUUUCUUUUUGCUUGAGGACUUCGAAUGAUUCAGAGUCAUUAGAAACAAGCUUUGAAAAGAAAAACCGCCAGACUAGUGAAUUUGUUUGGCUGACUUAGAGAUUUUAAAAAUUACAAGAUAAGCUUAAUUUUCUCAAUAGGUUAGAGUUUUUGAUAAGGUUUCUUUAAAUUUGUUAAUUGACUCUGUAUUGAUACAAAUCUUACUGAUUUUUGCUAUGGACAAGGGAAUAAAAUUAAUAAAGAAAUAUUCUCCGCUUGCUCAAAUAACAGAAGAAAAGCAAGCGAAAUUUGAAGAUGAACUCUAUGACGUAUCGACCGAAAAUAAGCCAAGCAUUAAAGAUUUACUCUCUUAUGGAAACGUUCUUAAACCGGAAUUAUUGAAUGAAAAAGGUUCGAGUGGCAGCUCUCCUGGAGAGUCUGCAAUCAAUGAAGCAUUUCGUCAUUUAUCAAAUGUUAUCUCUGAACAUUAUAGCAAUGAUGAAUCGAAUUUGGAACACUUGAAACCUCUUUAUAAAGAUUUAAUGAAUCUUAUAACAACUGCUUAUGAAGGAAACUAUGUAACGUCUGGAAAUUGUGACGCAAUUAGAACCAUACUUCAAUUUGACUAUUAUAGUGACUAUAUUGAGAAAGAAGUAACAGUAGAUGAUAUUAGACGUUUGAUGAGAGGAAUUUGUCGUGACUUCAAACCUAGGGAAAAUGACACAACCUUGACUACAUGGAAAAACGAUGUAUACUAUCCUUUGGGUGAGAUCAUCGGCUGUGUAAAAUUCGAAGUGCUUAGAAAGUGUAAAGCUGAAAUAAUUCACGGAUUACUAUUUUGGGCAGAGACAGGUAUGAAGUAUAAGGAAGAUGACGACUCUGUUGAACAUUUUAUACAGUUUACGAAUCUUAUGAGUAGUGUUUUCGAAACUGCUUGCAAUUCAAUGCUUGAUGAUGAGAAGGGAGCACUUUUAUUUAUGGACAUUGAUGACAAAACAUUCGAUUCAUUUUUAUCAAGAGCAGACAAAAUACUCUCAAAUAAAGACUUUCCUCCAAAUCGUUAUCCCGAAGAUAACAUGCAACUUCUUGUACAAAAUUGCCUUACAAGCUUUAUCCAAGAAAGUAAUGAUUCAAAGAUGUUAGGAAAAGUCUAUGGUUUAUACAAUAAAUUUGCUUCGUCAAGCAAUGGAAAAGCUUUUGAUAUAGUAGAAGAUAUGAAGACGACGUUUCAAGAAAAGCUAUCAUUAAUUGAUUUUGAAGCUAUUGGAAUGAAAAGUGCCCUUGACCAAUUCUUAGACGAUUUACGAGCAAUAGAAAAUGAAAAUCAAGUCUCUCUUGUACGGGAUAAGUACGAAAAGAGUUACGCGAAGGAGUAUCUUCCGAAAUUAAAGAAAGAUAUUAACAAAUUGAAGGAAUUUAUUCAAAUUUUGAUAGAAAAUCCCUAUUAUGGCAUAUGCAGGGAAUAUUUUGACGACCAUGUUACACAAAAGAAACUAUUCACUUUUAAAGAAAAUCCGGAAAUACUUAAUUUCAUUUUUGAUUUAAUGUAUAAAUCAAAGUAUGAAUAUAAUGAAAGAUUUAAGAGUGCUUAUGAUAUAAUAGGCCAAAGUUGUGUCCAGUUACUUGAAAAGGAAAAAUUAUUGACAAAACGGAAAAAAGAUCUAUUAGAUAUUUUGGAACGAUGCUUCGAAGUACCCAAACACCCUUAUCAUUCUGCUUGCAGCAAUCUACUGUACCAUGUCGAAUGGAAAGGAGAGAUCGAGAGAUAUUCUAGAAUUGUUAAAAAGCUGAGAGUUCAUGUGGAAAAAGAGAAUUCAUAUAUAGAAAAGGAUGAUGUUAUAGUUCGUAUAACUUCACAAGUAACUGAAUAUGUUAACUAUCACAAUGGAAAAAAUAAAAAAUUUAUUGAAUACGCUGACUCGUUUGCUGAUCUUUUUAAAUACUGCGUUAAGUUAUCGUGGCUUUACGAUUCUGAUGAUAAGAUUGUUAAUGAUAGAGAUUUGGAUGAGGAUGAGAGGAGAACGCUCGCUGGAACAAUUCUCAUUAAACUUAUGACCAAUAUCUACGAACCGAAUAACGACUUCAAUGAUUUUGUACAACCAAUUGUCGAAACGUUAAAGAAGCUGAAAAAACAAGACGACGAUGAACAGAUACAAGAGUGUGCCAAGAACUUAGUAAGUGAACUAACUGAUCAAAUGGAACUUCUUGGUGAUGAAGCAGGAGAAGAUAUAAUUGAAGAGUUUUUGAAUGAUCGUGAGAUAUCUCAAUUAGAUCGAAUAGCCAGCAUGUAUCCAUCCUGUCAAGUCAAGAUACACGAAAGCUUAGAAGAGAUACUAGAUAUCGCAGAAGAAAAUGGAGAUGUAGGAAUGAUCACUUUACAAACCUUAUUGAAUAAAAUUGCCGACAAUGAUCCCAAACAAAUAACAAAAAAAGUAUUUGACUAUGUCAUGAGCAUAUUAGACACAAACUUUGGAACUGCAUAUUUCUUUUUCUUACAAAAACUGGCUCCAAAAAGACCUCAGUUGUUUGAUAAUUACCACACCAGAAUCAAUGAUCUCAUUAGACAAGGCGAACACGGUAAUGUCUUUUUACAACUACUGCCGGACUUGUCCCGAACAAAAGAACUAGCUCAAACAAAUGCCAAGCUGACAUGGGAGAUAUGUCAAAAAAAUGAUCCAACUUACGCGAUAAGUGCUUAUUAUACACUACGAUCCAUUGCCCUACGAUUUAAAGAGACUGUUGAGGAGUAUAAACCUCAAUUGGAAAAACUAAAAGACGACCCAAAAUUACGAGAUAGCAUAAUGUCAAUUCUUGACGUAUUGGAAGGAAGGACGUUAGAAACUGUAGCAAAUGAUGUUGAAGAACAAAGAGAAGAUAUUGAUAAUUUAGAUUCCAGAGUUACGAAUAAUGAAGAUAAAAUUGAAAAUCUUGAUAAUGAUGUCAGAGAAACUAAAGAAGACGUCGCCAAUGUUAAACAAGAUGUCAAAGAAACUAAGGAACGCAUUGAUCAAAUUGAAUAUACAAUCAAAGGACUCGAUGAAAGAGUUGAAGAACUCAGUCAUAUGACUCUUUCACAUGCUCCCGCUUGGACUCGUCAUGUUUCCGAAUUAAUGAAUGAUCAAACCGAUCACGAUUGGAGACUCUUAGCUAUGAAACUCAAUUAUACAAACGACGAUAUACGAAAUUGGGCUACUCAACCAGAUCCUUGUCUAUCGAUGUUUGAUGAAUGGUUUGCUACUCACAAAACAAGAGAAGCUACAAACGCCAUUUUAACUAAUCUGAAAGAAAUGAACAGAUUAGACGCUGCUGAAAUUGUGGAAAGUGCACUUGCAAAUGUGAAAGAUGUUGUUCAAGAUGACGAAGAUGAAGAGUUUGAGAAACCAGAAGUGUUUCUCAGCUAUCAAUGGGGACAUCAACAAGAAGUGAAACUUCUGCGUAAACACUUGGAGAUGGCCGGAUUCAAGGCAUGGAUGGACAUUGGCCAAAUGGGUGGAGGUGACAAAUUAUACGCCAAAAUCGAUGAUGGUGUUCGUUCAGCCAAAGUGAUUAUCAGUUGUGUAAGUGAGAAAUAUGCAAAAUCCGCAAAUUGCUGUAGAGAAGUUAACUUGUCAACAAAUCUUGGAAAACCAAUGAUACCAAUACUCAUGGAACAAUUAUCGUGGCCUCCUGCAGGUCCGAUGGGACCAAUCAUGUCUGAAUAUUUGUAUAUUAGGUUCUUCAAGUCUGGUGGAAUGGAAAAAGGCGACUCUGUAUUUUGGUUGCCAGCAAAAUUUCAGGAACUUCUCAUGCAAGUUCGAUACUUCGUCGUACCAGAUAUGAAACUCAUUACGAAUGAUUCUCCUUAUAAAGGAUGGAUGAAUCCACCGGAAGAAGAAAUCAUCAUUCCGAAACGAGAACAAAAGGCCAUUGAAUCAAGCAAUGGGAAAUCGGAAGAGAACACGGAACAAGAAGUUUCGCCAGAUGUCUUUAUAUCUUAUCAAUGGGGAAAACAACCACAAAUUAAACGUCUAUAUAAAAAGCUUAGUGAAAUGGGCUAUUACUGUUGGUUAGAUAUCAUGCAGAUGGGAGGAGGAGAUUCUCUUUUUGAUAAAAUUGAUAAGGGAAUCAGAGGAGCAAAAGUGAUAAUAUCAUGUGUUACUCCAAAGUAUGCAUUGAGUGCGAAUUGUCGAAGAGAAGUUUCAUUAUCAGGAGCAUUGAGUAAGCCAAUUGUUCCUUUAUUAUUAGAAGACAUGAAAUGGCCACCAGAAGGACCAAUGUCGAUGACAUUUACGGAGCUUUUAUACAUUGGAUUUCACAGAAAGAAAGACGAUAAGUUGUGGGAGGGUGAUGAAUUUAAUCAAUUAAUUUCAAAAAUUGACCUGAAUGCACCAGGAUGUCGAAUGAUUUCGGAGGCAGCGGAAACGAAGGAAAGUAGUAAAACAGCAAAAGAUGAUGAAGAGGCCGCUCGUAAAAGAAAAUUGGAAGAGGAAAAUAAGCAAAAAGAGUUGGAGAAGGAAAAUGCGAAAAGAAUUGAAGAAGAAAGAAGGAAGGAGGCUGAAGAAAGGAAGAAACUGGCUGAAGAAAAACGGAAACAAGAGGAAGAAUCAAAGAGAAAGCAAGAAGAAGAUAGGAGUAAAAAAGAUGAAAAUAAGAGUGCUCAACCGCGAGCAAAGAAAUCAUCAAUGUGUACCUUACUCUGA